Molecule: ribosomal RNA, 194 nt
Filed under: uncultured Gammaproteobacteria bacterium
Lineage: Bacteria; Pseudomonadati; Pseudomonadota; Gammaproteobacteria
Description: partial 16S ribosomal RNA
Rfam family: Bacterial small subunit ribosomal RNA
Source: RNAcentral
CCUACGGGAGGCAGCAGUGAGGAAUAUUGGGCAAUGGACGAAAGUUUGACCCAGCCAUGCCGCGUGUGUGAAGAAGGCUCUAGGGUUGUAAAGCACUUUAAGUAGGGAGGAAAGGUUGUGUGUUAAUAGCACAUAGCUGUGACGUUACCUACAGAAUAAGCACCGGCUAACUCCGUGCCAGCAGCCGCGGUAAU